This 446-nucleotide ribosomal RNA is filed under the name uncultured bacterium. RNAcentral describes it as "bacterial SSU rRNA". It matches the Rfam family "Bacterial small subunit ribosomal RNA", at positions 330 to 792 of the family's 1533-position model. The record is from RNAcentral.
CCCAGACUCCUACGGGAGGCAGCAGUGGGGAAUAUUGCGCAAUGGGCGAAAGCCUGAUGCAGCGACGCCGCGUGGGUGAAGAAGUAUUUCGGUAUGUAAAGCCCUAUCAGCAGGGAAGAAAGAAGACGGUACCUGACUAAGAAGCCCCGGCUAACUACGUGCCAGCAGCCGCGGUAAUACGUAGGGGGCGAGCGUUAUCCGGAUUCACUGGGUGUAAAGGGAGCGUAGACGGCCGUGCAAGCCAGGAGUGAAAGCCCGGGGCCCAACCCCGGGACUGCUCUUGGAACUGUGCGGCUAGAGUGCGGGAGGGGCAGGCGGAAUUCCUGGUGUAGCGGUGAAAUGCGUAGAUAUCAGGAGGAACACCGGCGGCGAAGGCGGCCUGCUGGACCGCGACUGACGUUGAGGCUCGAAAGCGUGGGGAGCGAACAGGAUUAGAUACCCCAGUA